AUUCGGGGGAGGAACCAACCGGGAUUGCCUCAGUAACGGCGAGUGAAGCGGCAAGAGCUCAAAUUUGAAAGCUGGCUCCUUCGGGGUCCGCAUUGUAAUUUGCAGAGGAUGCUUCGGGUGCGGCCCCCGUCUAAGUGCCCUGGAACGGGCCGUCAGAGAGGGUGAGAAUCCCGUCUGGGAUGGGGUGUCCGCGCCCGUGUGAAGCUCCUUCGACGAGUCGAGUUGUUUGGGAAUGCAGCUCUAAAUGGGUGGUAAAUUUCAUCUAAAGCUAAAUACUGGCCGGAGACCGAUAGCGCACAAGUAGAGUGAUCGAAAGAUGAAAAGCACUUUGAAAAGAGAGUUAAAAAGCACGUGAAAUUGUUGAAAGGGAAGCGCUUGCGACCAGACUCGCCUGCUGGGGU
RNAcentral lists this ribosomal RNA (401 nucleotides) under Aspergillus flavus. RNAcentral describes it as "partial large subunit ribosomal RNA". It matches the Rfam family "Eukaryotic large subunit ribosomal RNA", at positions 45 to 448 of the family's 3401-position model. Lineage: Eukaryota; Fungi; Ascomycota; Eurotiomycetes; Eurotiales; Aspergillaceae. The record is from RNAcentral.